CUUAUCAAGAGUGGUGGAGGGACUGGCCCGAUGAAGCCCGGCAACCUGCCUGCCCGCGCAGCGGACACGGUAAGGUGCCAAGUCCAGCGGUUUUUCGUAAAGAUGAGG
This 108-nucleotide non-coding RNA is filed under the name pig gut metagenome. RNAcentral describes it as "SAM riboswitch (S box leader)". It matches the Rfam family "SAM riboswitch aptamer (S box leader)". Rfam says of the family: The SAM riboswitch is found upstream of a number of genes which code for proteins involved in methionine or cysteine biosynthesis in Gram-positive bacteria. The SAM riboswitch acts at the level of transcription termination control. The record is from RNAcentral.